This 460-nucleotide ribosomal RNA is filed under the name uncultured bacterium. RNAcentral's name for it is "partial 16S ribosomal RNA". It matches the Rfam family "Bacterial small subunit ribosomal RNA", at positions 338 to 795 of the family's 1533-position model. The record is from RNAcentral.
CCUACGGGGUGCAGCAGUGAGGAAUAUUGGUCAAUGGUCGGGAGACUGAACCAGCCAAGCCGCGUGAGGGAGGAAGGUACAGAGUAUCGUAAACCUCUUUUGUCAGGGAACAAAGGUGGGGACGUGUCCCCGGAUGAGUGUACCUGAAGAAAAAGCAUCGGCUAACUCCGUGCCAGCAGCCGCGGUAAUACGGAGGAUUCAAGCGUUAUCCGGAUUUAUUGGGUUUAAAGGGUGGGUAGGCGGUCGGAUAAGUUAGAGGUGAAAUCCCGAGGCUCAACUUCGGAAGUGCCUCUGAUACUGUUCGGCUAGAGAGUAGUUGCGGUAGGCGGAAUGUAUGGUGUAGCGGUGAAAUGCUUAGAGAUCAGACAGAACACCGAUUGCGAAGGCAGCUUACCAAGCUACUUCUGACGUUGAGGCACGAAAGCGUGGGGAGCAAACAGGAUUAGAUACCCUAGUAGUC